GCAACGAUGUGCUUGUUUGAUCGUAUGUUUUUGCGUUUGCUGUAACGAAAUGUGACUUAGUUCGCGUGCGCAUAAGUGCCACAGACAGCUUGUGUAUCGCUGCAAACUCGCCGUGUGCAUGGCGCGCCAGCCAAAUGUGGACCAACGAUGUUCAUGCCGUGGAGUGCGUUCCCUUCGUCUCUGGUUGUCGUGGAAAGUUGGGUGGACGUCGCGAAGAAAUAAUGCGUAUCGUUAGCGUGCCACUGCUCUUCCACUAUGCAACGGCACGUCUGCUGGGAGUAACAUCGAAGCACCGACAACUUGGAGGGUUCUUUUCGACCGCGUCGUGCCAUUCAAAGGGGUACACGUGUACUUACCUCAAGAUGACGACACUCCACCUCAAGAACAGCUUCUCCUCAAUGAUAAGUAGCGAUAUUAAAUGAAAGGAAAAUAUCACAUCCGUGACCAGUCUGAUACUUUGUUUUCCUAUAAUUUAACCUCCUUCUGCUUUUAAGGAAGCAUUGAUAGGCCCAAUAAAUGUUUUUGUUAAAUUUC
Dermacentor andersoni is the source of this 534-nucleotide long non-coding RNA. RefSeq lists it as uncharacterized. The record is from RefSeq and is a predicted model, not a curated record. Lineage: Eukaryota; Metazoa; Arthropoda; Arachnida; Ixodida; Ixodidae.